This is a non-coding RNA of Suillus ampliporus, 93 nucleotides long. The record is from the annotation of a GenBank genome assembly. NCBI's taxonomy places the organism in Eukaryota, Fungi, Basidiomycota, Agaricomycetes, Boletales, Suillaceae.
GGCCUGGUGGUCUAGUAGUAUGAUUCCUUGUUAGGGUAAACCACAUUGGGUUAGAUUUCGAGGAGGUCCCGGGUUCAAUUCCCGGCCAGGCCC